CCGAGUUGUAAUUUGCAGAGGAUGUUUCUGGCGCGGUGCCUUCCGAGUUCCCUGGAACGGGACGCCACAGAGGGUGAGAGCCCCGUAUGGUCGGACACCAAGCCUGUGUGAAACUCCUUCAACGAGUCGAGUAGUUUGGGAAUGCUGCUCUAAAUGGGAGGUAAAUCUCUUCUAAAGCUAAAUACCGGCCAGAGACCGAUAGCGCACAAGUAGAGUGAUCGAAAGAUGAAAAGCACCUUGAAAAGGGGGUUAAAUAGUACGUGAAAUUGUUGAAAGGGAAGCACUUAUGACCAGACUUGGGCCGGGCGGCUCAUCAGGGGUUCUCCCCUGUGCACUCCGCCCGGCACAGGCCAGCAUCGGUUUUCGCGGGGGGAUAAGACCGACGGGAACGUAGCACCCUCCGGGGUGUGUUAUAGCCCGGCGGACGAUACCCUCGCGGGGACCGAGGUCCGCGCUCCGCAAGGAUGCUGGCGUAAUGGUCAUCAGUGACCCGUCUUGAAACACGGACCAAGGAGUCGUCCAUUAGAGCGAGCGUUUGGGUGUAAAACCCGCACGCGUAAUGAAAGUGAACGCAGGUGAGAGCUUCGGCGCAUCAUCGACCGAUCCUGAUGUUCUCGGAAGGGAUUUGAGU
This 631-nucleotide ribosomal RNA is filed under the name Diaporthe sp. Its description in RNAcentral is "partial large subunit ribosomal RNA". It matches the Rfam family "Eukaryotic large subunit ribosomal RNA", at positions 138 to 795 of the family's 3401-position model. The record is from RNAcentral. Lineage: Eukaryota; Fungi; Ascomycota; Sordariomycetes; Diaporthales; Diaporthaceae.